UUGACAUGCAGAGAACUUUCCAGAGAUGGAUUGGUGCCUUCGGGAACUCUGACACAGGUGCUGCAUGGCUGUCGUCAGCUCGUGUCGUGAGAUGUUGGGUUAAGUCCCGUAACGAGCGCAACCCUUGUCCUUAGUUACCAGCACGUUAUGGUGGGCACUCUAAGGAGACUGCCGGUGUUAAACCGGAGGAAGGUGGGGAUGACGUCAAGUCCUCAUGGCCUUUAUGACCAGGGCUACACACGUACUACAAUGGCCGAUACAAAGGGCAGCGACACUGCGAGGUGAAGCCAAUCCCGUAAAAUCGGUCUCAGUCCGGAUUGGAGUCUGCAACUCGACUCCAUGAAGUUGGAAUCGCUAGUAAUCGUGGAUCAGCAUGGCGCGGUGAAUACGUUCCCGGGCCUU
This 402-nucleotide ribosomal RNA is filed under the name uncultured Bacillus sp. Its description in RNAcentral is "bacterial SSU rRNA". It matches the Rfam family "Bacterial small subunit ribosomal RNA", at positions 981 to 1382 of the family's 1533-position model. The record is from RNAcentral. Lineage: Bacteria; Bacillati; Bacillota; Bacilli; Caryophanales; Bacillaceae.